This 254-nucleotide ribosomal RNA is filed under the name uncultured bacterium. RNAcentral describes it as "partial 16S ribosomal RNA". It matches the Rfam family "Bacterial small subunit ribosomal RNA", at positions 524 to 777 of the family's 1533-position model. The record is from RNAcentral.
UACGGAGGGGGCUAGCGUUGUUCGGAAUUACUGGGCGUAAAGCGCACGUAGGCGGCUUUGUAAGUUAGAGGUGAAAGCCUGGAGCUCAACUCCAGAACUGCCUUUAAGACUGCAUCGCUUGAAUCCAGGAGAGGUGAGUGGAAUUCCGAGUGUAGAGGUGAAAUUCGUAGAUAUUCGGAAGAACACCAGUGGCGAAGGCGACUUACUGGACACAUAUUGACGCUGAGGUGCGAAAGCGUGGGGAGCAAACAGGG